AAGUCGUAACAAGGUUUCCGUAGGUGAACCUGCGGAAGGAUCAUUAGUGAAUUAAACAUGCUUGGUGUCUUCGCUUCGGCAAGGCCCUUGCUUAACUCACAUCCCAACACCUGUGAACUGUAAGGCGCAUGACUAGGUUCGCCCAAGUCAUCGUCUGCCCUUUUUAACAAACAAUUAAUGUAACAAACGUAGUCUUAUUAUAACCUAAUAAAACUUUCAACAACGGAUCUCUUGGCUCUC
This 240-nucleotide unclassified non-coding RNA is filed under the name Solicoccozyma aeria. Its description in RNAcentral is "partial internal transcribed spacer region". The stretch from base 1 to 46 matches the Rfam family "Eukaryotic small subunit ribosomal RNA", at positions 1786 to 1831 of the family's 1831-position model. The record is from RNAcentral. RNAcentral also lists the same sequence under 4 other names. Lineage: Eukaryota; Fungi; Basidiomycota; Tremellomycetes; Filobasidiales; Piskurozymaceae.